UACUCCAUGUUUCUCUUUAGUUACCAGAGAAUACGAAAAGGACCCUGUACAUCUGGUGCAAAUUUAAGGAACACUGUUAAGUGCUCUACUUGUUUGACCUUGGGAGUAGCUCAAUCACUUCAGAUGACUUACAUCUGGUUGCCGUAGACUUGAUUUGCCUCUGACAUCACUGUAUGAGUUACUUGACGUGUGGCGCGAGGUCAAAAGUCACGGGACAUCUGAUGUGGCUUAACUUCUUGGAAAGGAAAACCUAAGGAGCCUUUUUUGCAAUCCAAAGAUGCAAUUCCUUUAGUCACACUUCUAUUUACCAACUACAGGAAGUGAAGCAUGACAGAGAUGAAUCAUGGUUGUCAAAGGAAAUCUUUUGAAUUUUUCCCGGUGGAUUCUAGUAACAUUAAUCAUAUUUGUAACACAGCUCAAUCCCAAACACUUCUAUUAUGAUAGAAGAAGAAAAGGUUCAUUUGUUUGCCACUAGAAAUGAAGUGUAAUGUUUGUUAGUAUAAGGAAUCUAUUCUUCUAUGAAAUGCUAUCACCGUAGACACUGUUGAGCAUCCCAUAUGGGGCUAAACUAUGUAGGGAAGCAGCAGGUCAGGACAGCUGCCUGCAAGAAGACAAAGGCAGAAGAGGGACAAUGAAAACAAUUUUGGAUAGCAGGGCUCAAGUGACAAAAAGGCAACUCACCCAAAUGAAGGAAUGAGUCAUUUCAUAAGGACUACUGCUCCCUUGAAAUACCAUUGGAAAAUGAUUGAUUUGUUUUCAGGACAGCCAAAACAAAAAAAAAUGUAAAUCAGUUUUCUUUAAGAAAUGUUAGUCAUGUUUUCUAUUCCACCUAAAGAGCAACAACAUGACUGACAGUGCGGGUCUUUUAAAGGAUAAUAAACAACUUCU
Long non-coding RNA from Protopterus annectens (West African lungfish), 888 nucleotides. RefSeq lists it as uncharacterized. The record is from RefSeq and is a predicted model, not a curated record. NCBI's taxonomy places the organism in Eukaryota, Metazoa, Chordata, Ceratodontiformes, Protopteridae. The transcript has 3 exons.